RNAcentral lists this transfer RNA (72 nucleotides) under Minisyncoccia bacterium. RNAcentral describes it as "tRNA-Cys". It matches the Rfam family "tRNA". Rfam says of the family: Transfer RNA (tRNA) molecules are approximately 80 nucleotides in length. Their secondary structure includes four short double-helical elements and three loops (D, anti-codon, and T loops). Further hydrogen bonds mediate the characteristic L-shaped molecular structure. tRNAs have two regions of fundamental functional importance: the anti-codon, which is responsible for specific mRNA codon recognition, and the 3' end, to which the tRNAs corresponding amino acid is attached (by aminoacyl-tRNA synthetases). tRNAs cope with the degeneracy of the genetic code in two manners: having more than one tRNA (with a specific anti-codon) for a particular amino acid; and 'wobble' base-pairing, i.e. permitting non-standard base-pairing at the 3rd anti-codon position. The record is from RNAcentral. Lineage: Bacteria; Bacillati; Minisyncoccota; Minisyncoccia.
GGCGGCGUAGCCAAGUGGUAAGGCAGAGGUCUGCAAAACCUCUAUACGGCGGUUCGAUUCCGCCCGCCGCCU